This is a long non-coding RNA of Saccostrea cuccullata (small rock oyster), 292 nucleotides long. RefSeq lists it as uncharacterized. The record is from RefSeq and is a predicted model, not a curated record. The transcript has 3 exons. NCBI's taxonomy places the organism in Eukaryota, Metazoa, Mollusca, Bivalvia, Ostreida, Ostreidae.
GAUCCUGAUCAUAACAACGUUUGUUUUCAUGGAAAAAAAUAUGGCGACUAAGAAACACUUAAUGUCAACAAGAUUUUCUGAUUGACAAGAGAAAAGGUCAAACAGGAACUUCAGUUGUGAACAUUGCAGAGAACACACCCAUCAGAAGAUGACCCUCAGAAAUAGGACAAUUAAUGAAUAAAAUGGACAGAGGCAGAACUGAAGGAGAUGCAUGAAAUGAGGAAUAUUUCAAAGAUUGCCUGAGCAUAACCACUGCUACUGGAUAAACAUAUGGCAAUAUAAAAGAGCAGGG